Theropithecus gelada (gelada) is the source of this 126-nucleotide unclassified non-coding RNA. It matches the Rfam family "Y RNA". Rfam says of the family: Y RNAs are components of the Ro ribonucleoprotein particle (Ro RNP), in association with Ro60 and La proteins. The Y RNAs and Ro60 and La proteins are well conserved, but the function of the Ro RNP is not known. The record is from Ensembl. Lineage: Eukaryota; Metazoa; Chordata; Mammalia; Primates; Cercopithecidae.
GGUUAUUGUCUAUAAAUAAGAAAGUCACUUCCAAGCCAACCAGAAAUAUGUAUCAAAUUGAUCACAACCAGUAACAGAUUUCUUUGUUCUUUCUCCACUCCCACUGCUUCACUUGACUAGCCUUAA